UAGGGAAUCUUCCACAAUGGACGCAAGUCUGAUGGAGCAACGCCGCGUGAGUGAAGAAGGUUUUCGGAUCGUAAAGCUCUGUUGUUGGUGAAGAAGGAUAGAGGCAGUAACUGGUCUUUAUUUGACGGUAAUCAACCAGAAAGUCACGGCUAACUACGUGCCAGCAGCCGCGGUAAUACGUAGGUGGCAAGCGUUGUCCGGAUAUAUUGGGCGUAAAGCGAGCGCAGGCGGAAUGAUAAGUCUGAUGUGAAAGCCCACGGCUCAACCGUGGAACUGCAUCGGAAACUGUCAUUCUUGAGUGCAGAAGAGGAGAGUGGAAUUCCAUGUGUAGCGGUGGAAUGCGUAGAUAUAUGGAAGAACACCAGUGGCGAAGGCGGCUCUCUGGUCUGCAACUGACGCUGAGGCUCGAAAGCAUGGGUAGCGAACAGG
This 429-nucleotide ribosomal RNA is filed under the name bacterium. Its description in RNAcentral is "partial 16S ribosomal RNA". It matches the Rfam family "Bacterial small subunit ribosomal RNA", at positions 355 to 776 of the family's 1533-position model. The record is from RNAcentral.